RNAcentral lists this transfer RNA (88 nucleotides) under Aspergillus cristatus. It matches the Rfam family "tRNA". Rfam says of the family: Transfer RNA (tRNA) molecules are approximately 80 nucleotides in length. Their secondary structure includes four short double-helical elements and three loops (D, anti-codon, and T loops). The record is from Rfam by way of RNAcentral. Lineage: Eukaryota; Fungi; Ascomycota; Eurotiomycetes; Eurotiales; Aspergillaceae.
UCCUCGAUGGUCUAGUGGUCAUGAUUUCCGCUUGUCAGCUUGACAACUGCAAGCGCGGGAGACCUGGGUUCGAUUCCCAGUCGGGGAG